RNAcentral lists this non-coding RNA (752 nucleotides) under Vagitanus terminalis. Lineage: Eukaryota; Metazoa; Arthropoda; Insecta; Hemiptera; Cicadidae. The record is from RNAcentral.
AUAAAGUUUUAUUCUGACUUAAAAUUUAAGUUUUAUAUAACCUUAUAUGUAAUAAUUAUGAGUAUUUAAGUCUUAAUGAUGAUUUGUUUUAUCGCAGUAUUUAAUAUUAAAAAUUAUAAAAUUUAGAUUUAGUUAUUUUAUUUAUAUGGGACAAAAAUCGUGCCAGCAGUCGCGGUUAUACAAUUUCAUAAAUUUAAAUAUUUUGGUUUCAGUUAAAUUUGAAUUUUUAUAUUAACAAAAUAGAAAAUUUUGGUAGAAUAAUAUUUUCUAUAUUAAUAUAUAUUUUGCCUGAAAAAUCUAAUUUAUAAACUAGGAUUAGAUACCCUACUAUUUUAGAUGUUAAUUAAAUUAACCUGAUUAUUAAUAGUUAAGAUCUUUAAAUUCAAAGAAUUUGGCGGUAACUUAUAUUAUCAGAGGAACCUGUUUCAUAAUCGAUAGUCCACGAUAGAUUAUACUUAAUUUACACUUGUAUAUCUCUGUUAAGAAUGUUCUAUAAGGAUGAAUUUUCAUUUAUUAAUAAAAAAUUUAAUAUCAGGUCAAGGUGCAGUUUAUAAUUAAGAAGAAGUGGGUUACAAUUAAUAUUAAAUUAAAUUAUUGUCUAAGUGAUACUAUAAAAGUGGAUUUGAAAGUAAAAUCUAAUAAAUUUUUUAGUUUGAAAUAAUCUCCAAGUUAUGUACACAUCGCCCGUCACUCUCAUUUUAAGAUGAGAUAAGUCGUAACAAAGUAGUUGUACCGGAAGGUGUGGCUAGAAU